Non-coding RNA from Pimephales promelas (fathead minnow), 480 nucleotides. Lineage: Eukaryota; Metazoa; Chordata; Actinopteri; Cypriniformes; Leuciscidae. The record is from RefSeq and is a predicted model, not a curated record.
UAAAAAUGUGUUUUCACAGUUAAGUUUGUAUUUUUUCAGGUGCCCACUCUGAAGCCCCUGCCCCCAAUGAACUACUCAUCCUGUCUUCCAAACAGUUCCAAUGACCGAUUUUCCAGCGGCAUGCCUGGGCCAUCAAGAUUCUACAAAUGAACACUCAUCUGUUGGAUGUAACCAAGACCUGGAUCCAGCCUGUUUUCGACAUGGCUUUCUUGACUUUGUUCAUGACCAAACACUUUUUUUUUCUUGCCUUUUAGGUCAUUUUUGUUUUUACAGUGUAUACAUAGGUAGAUUUAUUUUAAAUGUUUAAUUUUUCUCUUUUUUCGCUCAGACAAACAUUUGUGUGCAGUUAUUUGUAAUAGCAACAAUUUUUAGUGAGUGAUUUAAACAGUCUUUAAGCGGUCAGUCAAAUCUUCAAUGUGACAUUUUGUUGUAAAUGUCUGUUGCCAUAGUUGUAAAAUAAACUCAUAGUUCCUCAUUGAA